UUUCUAGCUCGCAAAAUCGCGGUUGUUCUGUUUACAAAUUAAAACCAUAUUUACACUUCGAAUUUCGCCUCCAAAUUGUAGUAACUACAUCUACGAAGUCUAAGGAAGAUAACCAUGUAGUCUGUUCAAAUAUAAGAUACAUUUUGACAGAACUACAGACCUCGUGAAAGUAGCCUAGAAGCCAU
Molecule: long non-coding RNA, 185 nt
Organism: Alosa sapidissima (American shad)
Lineage: Eukaryota; Metazoa; Chordata; Actinopteri; Clupeiformes; Clupeidae
Exons: 3
Source: RefSeq, a predicted model, not a curated record